Camellia sinensis is the source of this 846-nucleotide non-coding RNA. The record is from RefSeq and is a predicted model, not a curated record. Lineage: Eukaryota; Viridiplantae; Streptophyta; Magnoliopsida; Ericales; Theaceae.
AACCAUCAGUGAUGCUUUUAAUGCCCAGUCCCAACUAAUUUUUUCCAGAUCUUAUGGUGACAUGCAAUUGUUAUUCAAGUCCCUUUGCUACCUCUGCAGUACUAUCUGAAGGCACCCUUUGGUUUCAACAAAAAUCAAUUUUCAGAAGUUUUGAUGACGAUGGGAAUAGGAUAAAUUGUUUCCCAGAUUCUGAUUCUUCCUCUCAUCAAUCCAUUUGUUGGAGAGAAACUGAUACUUUGCACAGCCUUACUUUCAUCAAUAGCCUAUGCAUUGUUUUAUGGCUUGGCAUAGGCUUCUUGGGUAUGUACUCUUAUAUAAUAAAUGUGUAGUUAACAUCAAUUUUGAAACUACAUUCUGGGUAAUUACAUGUUCCACCGUUAAACUUCCUCUUAACAUUUCACUUUAGUCUGUCAUUUCUAGUUGAGACGACAUACAUCAUUAUUGUAAUUUAGGUUCUAAUUCCUUGCAAAAAAAUACAAGAAAAUUUAUUUUCUCACGAAAGUUGCUAUAUGUUAUAACUUUCUCUCAAAAAAAAUCUUAACCAAACACAAACUAAAAAAAUAAAUUUUCGUUUGAGGUGUUGACGCCUCAAAAUCACCAAACGGCGUUGGAGUAGGACGAAACUUGGCAUGCACAAUUACCUAGGCACGAGAGACUUGUGGGAGAAGAUGGGACUCGAAUCGGAUUCCCGGUUUGGGAGUUAGAGCUGAAUUUCACUCUCGACAAACUAGUUUCUUAAAAAACCUAGAAAUCGAGGUGUUAACGCACCAAAAUCACCAAAUGGUGUCGGAGUAGCACAAACAUUUGCACACACAACCGCCUAGGCACGGGAGACUUGUGGGAGAA